This 465-nucleotide ribosomal RNA is filed under the name uncultured bacterium. RNAcentral's name for it is "partial 16S ribosomal RNA". It matches the Rfam family "Bacterial small subunit ribosomal RNA", at positions 338 to 795 of the family's 1533-position model. The record is from RNAcentral.
CCUACGGGGGGCAGCAGUGGGGAAUAUUGCGCAAUGGGCGAAAGCCUGACGCAGCGACGCCGCGUGAGGGAUGAAUGUCUUCGGAUCGUAAACCUCUGUCAGCAGGGAAGAACGGUCACUGUGCUAAUCAGCAGUGAAUUGACGGUACCUGCAAAGGAAGCACCGGCUAACUCCGUGCCAGCAGCCGCGGUAAUACGGAGGGUGCGAGCGUUAAUCGGAAUUACUGGGCGUAAAGGGCUCGUAGGCGGUAUGUCAAGUCAAGGGUGAAAUCCCCGCGCUCAACGUGGGAACUGCAUUUGAAACUGGCAGACUGGAGUGUGUGAGAGGAUAGUGGAAUUCCAGGUGUAGGAGUGAAAUCCGGAGAUAUCUGGAGGAACAUCAGUGGCGAAGGCGACUAUCUGGCACAUAACUGACGCUGAGGAGCGAAAGCGUGGGUAGCAAACAGGAUUAGAUACCCUAGUAGUC